Molecule: ribosomal RNA, 301 nt
Filed under: uncultured bacterium
Lineage: Bacteria
Description: partial 16S ribosomal RNA
Rfam family: Bacterial small subunit ribosomal RNA
Source: RNAcentral
CAGUAGCCACGGGAAAACGUAGGGUCCGAGCGUUGUCCGGAAUUAUUGGGCGUAAAGGGCUCGUAGGCGGUUUGUCGCGUCGGGAGUGAAAACCAGCAGCUUAACUGCUGGCCUGCUUUCGAUACGGGCAGACUUGAGGCAUUCAGGGGAGAACGGAAUUCCUGGUGUAGCGGUGAAAUGCGCAGAUAUCAGGAGGAACACCGGUGGCGAAGGCGGUUCUCUGGGAAUGUUCUGACGCUGAGGAGCGAAAGUGUGGGGAGCGAACAGGAUUAGAUACCCCCGUAGUCCCUGUCUCUUAUAC